This 203-nucleotide non-coding RNA is filed under the name Alicyclobacillus acidoterrestris. RNAcentral describes it as "T-box sequence". It matches the Rfam family "T-box leader". Rfam says of the family: Uncharged tRNA acts as the effector for transcription antitermination of genes in the T-box leader family. The record is from RNAcentral. Lineage: Bacteria; Bacillati; Bacillota; Bacilli; Caryophanales; Alicyclobacillaceae.
UGAACGGCGUUGAAAGGGAGGAGUAAGGCGGUUUCGAUUGUCCAGAGACGGUGCAGCGCGCUGAAAUGCACCGCUUUCGUCCGUCUGAAGGUCGCCCUUGAGCUGCUUACCCCGGGUCAUUCCGUUAUCGAUGUCGAGUGUUUCGUUCGUCUCGCGAUGAGCGGAAAAUUCAGGUGGUAACGCGGAGCCUAUCCGUCCUGAGG